Molecule: long non-coding RNA, 1804 nt
Organism: Anolis carolinensis (green anole)
Lineage: Eukaryota; Metazoa; Chordata; Lepidosauria; Squamata; Anolidae
Source: Ensembl
UGUUGGAUAAGUGAGACUCUACUGUAUUAUUAUUAUUAUUAUUACAGUAGAGUCUCACUUAUUUAUUUAUUUAUUUAUUUACAGCAUUUAUAUUCCGCCCUUCUCACCCCGAAGGGGACUCAGGGCGGAUCACAUUACACACAUCAGGCAAACAUUCAAUGCCUUUUUAACAUAGGACAAAGACAAACAACAAACAUAGCUCCGAGCGGGCCUCGAACUUAUGACCUCCUGGUCAGUGAUUCAUUGCUCUCCCAUCUGCGCCACAGCCUCGUCUGCGCACUUAUCCAACACUCGCUUAUCCAACGUUCUGGAUUAUCCAACGCAUUUUUGUAGUCAAUGUUUUCAAUAUAUCAUGAUAUUUUGGUGCUAAAUUCGUAAAUACAGUAAUUACUACAUAGCAUUACUGUGUAUUGAACUACAUUUUCUGUAAAAUUUGUUGUAUAACAUGAUGUUCUGGUGCUUAAUUUGUAAAAUCAUAACCUAAUUUGAUGUUUAAUAGGCUUUUCCUUAAUCUCUUCUUAUUAUCCAACAUAUUCGCUUAUCCAACAUUCUGACGGCCCGUUCACGUUGGAUAAGCGAGACUCUACUGUAUAUAUAUAAUGUUUAUUUAUUUUCAUUCAUUCAAAUAUACAUACAUUGCAAGUGUUUGUUGCAUACAGUGCAAUAUUUUCAUCUAUUAGUCUUUCAUAAUCAUUUCUCAGACAAUAUAUUUUCAAUAAGGGGUCACAGGCUUCUAUUUGUAUAGUACAUAUAAAAUAUUAUAAGUUCUAAAUUUUUAUCCGUUCCUCCUUGCCUUCAGUCUAUUAACUUCCUCUAUGUACAUUUGUAGAUUAAUUUUACAUUGAAAUGUUGGAUCAUUGGUUGCCAUUCAUUAACAAAGUUCUCUAAAGGUUCUCCUCUUAAGUGCAUUGUUAUUUUGUCCAUAUUAUUUUUUUAAACUGCACUUGCAUUAACCUUUUAAGGUUGCAUUGAGGUCAAGACUAGUGUUAACAAACAAACUACAGAAUUCUGAUGGUGCUGCCUGCACCUCCACGAUCUUUGUCAAAAGGCAUGGUAUCAUAAUCAUCAUCAUCAUCAUCAUCAUCAUUUAAUUUGGUUGACCUCCUAGCUAUAAAUUGGGCUGUCUGCCAAAUCCGCUCUCAGAGCAGAAUGGUUUAGGUAGGAUAAUUGAAUGACAAUGAAAAAGAAAGAGCAACUAUCAAGCAAUAGAGAAGAAUCUCCGGUGUCUUUGUCAAAUGGGCAUAAGGCUGAUCUCUCUACUGAAUACACAUUGCCAUCAUCAUGUGUACAAUACAUGAAAGUACAGUAGAGUCUCACUUAUCCAACAUAAACGGGCCGGCAGAAUGUUGGAUAAGCGAAUAUGUUGGAUGAUAAGGAGGGAUUAAGGAAAAGCCUAUUAAACAUCAAAUUAGGUUAUGAUUUUACAAAUUAAGCACCAAAACAUCAUGUUACAAUUUGACAGAAAAAGUAGUUCAAUACGCAGUAAUGCUAUGUAGUAAUCACUGUAUUUACAAAUUUAGCACCAAAAUAUCAUGAUGUAUUGAAAACAUUGACUACAAAAAUGCGUUGGAUAAUCCAGAAUGUUGGAUAAGUGAGACUCUACUCUAGUGGUAAUCUGGUAGGACUAUUCUUUUUUGUUCACCUUCCCUUUUAACAUUUCUCUAUCUUCCAAGAAUCAUAGAGGCUAGUUUUUAUUAUUCUUUUGGUUUGCAAUUGUGUUAGACAACAUAAUGGCAAACCAAAAAAAAAACCCCUAUAAAAAUGAUCGCGAGUGGCCGCCCACAGUAAUUUUUCCCAGCCCACU